GAGGAAUUAGUUAAAAUAUAAUAUAGGUUUGUCAAACCUAAGUUACUAUAUUGAUUAGUAUUUCUUG
Molecule: transfer RNA, 67 nt
Filed under: Solemya velesiana
Lineage: Eukaryota; Metazoa; Mollusca; Bivalvia; Solemyida; Solemyidae
Description: tRNA-Asp
Source: RNAcentral